GAGAUGAUAUGCGUAGAUUGUGAU
RNAcentral lists this non-coding RNA (24 nucleotides) under Arabidopsis thaliana (thale cress). Lineage: Eukaryota; Viridiplantae; Streptophyta; Magnoliopsida; Brassicales; Brassicaceae. The record is from RNAcentral.